GGGGAUUUGGCUCAGUGGUAGAGCGCUUACCUAGGAAGUACAAGGUCCUGGGUUCGGUCCCCAGCCCCG
Molecule: transfer RNA, 69 nt
Filed under: Rattus norvegicus (Norway rat)
Lineage: Eukaryota; Metazoa; Chordata; Mammalia; Rodentia; Muridae
Rfam family: tRNA
About the family: Transfer RNA (tRNA) molecules are approximately 80 nucleotides in length. Their secondary structure includes four short double-helical elements and three loops (D, anti-codon, and T loops). Further hydrogen bonds mediate the characteristic L-shaped molecular structure. tRNAs have two regions of fundamental functional importance: the anti-codon, which is responsible for specific mRNA codon recognition, and the 3' end, to which the tRNAs corresponding amino acid is attached (by aminoacyl-tRNA synthetases). tRNAs cope with the degeneracy of the genetic code in two manners: having more than one tRNA (with a specific anti-codon) for a particular amino acid; and 'wobble' base-pairing, i.e. permitting non-standard base-pairing at the 3rd anti-codon position.
Source: Rfam by way of RNAcentral